RNAcentral lists this small RNA (480 nucleotides) under uncultured Paraglomus. Its description in RNAcentral is "SSU rRNA". It matches the Rfam family "Eukaryotic small subunit ribosomal RNA", at positions 569 to 1054 of the family's 1831-position model. Lineage: Eukaryota; Fungi; Glomeromycota; Glomeromycetes; Paraglomerales; Paraglomeraceae. The record is from RNAcentral.
AGCAGCCGCGGUAAUUCCAGCUCCAAUAGCGCAUAUUAAAGUUGUUGUGGUUAAAAAGCUCGUAGUUGAACCUUGGGCCUGGCUGGCCGGUCCGCCUCACCGCGUGUACUGGUCCGGCCGGGCCUUUCCCUCUGUGGAACCUCAUGCCCUUCACUGGGUGUGCUGGGGAAACAGGACUUUUACUGUGAAAAAAUUAGAGUGCUCCAGGCAGGCCUAUGCUCGAAUACAUUAGCAUGGAAUAAUAGAAUAGGACGUGUGGUUCUAUUUUGUUGGUUUCUAGGACCGCCGUAAUGAUUAAUAGGGACAGUCGGGGGCAUCAGUAUUCAAUUGUCAGAGGUGAAAUUCUUGGAUUUAUUGAAGACUAACUACUGCGAAAGCAUUUGCCAAGGAUGUUUUCAUUAAUCAGGAACGAAAGUUAGGGGAUCGAAGACGAUCAGAUACCGUCGUAGUCUUAACCAUAAACUAUGCCGACUAGGGAUC